RNAcentral lists this ribosomal RNA (493 nucleotides) under uncultured bacterium. RNAcentral's name for it is "partial 16S ribosomal RNA". It matches the Rfam family "Bacterial small subunit ribosomal RNA", at positions 28 to 506 of the family's 1533-position model. The record is from RNAcentral.
GACGAACGCUGGCGGCGUGCUUAACACAUGCAAGUCGAACGGUGAAGCGCCUUCCUUUUUGGUGGGUGUGGAUGAGUGGCGAACGGGUGAGUAACACGUGAAUAACCUGCCCCCUUCUUCUGGAUAACCGCAUGAAAGUGUGGCUAAUACGGGAUAUUCUGGGUCUGUCGCAUGAUGGGUCUGGGAAAGAUAUUGUUUCGGUGGGGGAUGGGCUCGCGGCCUAUCAGCUUGUUGGUGGGGUGAUGGCCUACCAAGGCGGUGACGGGUAGCCGGCCUGAGAGGGUGGACGGUCACACUGGGACUGAGACACGGCCCAGACUCCUACGGGAGGCAGCAGUGGGGAAGAUUGCACAAUGGGCGCAAGCCUGAUGCAGCGACGCCGCGUGAGGGAUGGAGGCCUUCGGGUUGUGAACCUCUUUCGCCAGUGAAGCAGGCCUGCCUCGUUUGUGGGUGGGUUGACGGGAGCUGGAUAAGAAGCGCCGACGAACUACGU